RNAcentral lists this ribosomal RNA (954 nucleotides) under Heligmosomoides polygyrus. Its description in RNAcentral is "16S ribosomal RNA". The record is from RNAcentral. Lineage: Eukaryota; Metazoa; Nematoda; Chromadorea; Rhabditida; Heligmosomidae.
UAAAUGUAAAUUAUUUAUUUAUUGAUAUUGCAUAUCAUUGUAAUAAAAUUUUAUUGUAUAUAAAAAAUAGAAAUGGGAGGUAGAAUAUUUAUUAGUUUUAUUGUUUCAUAAUAAUAAUUAUAAAUGUUAGUGUUGAAAAGUCGUCUUCCAUUAUAACUGUUUUAAAUAUUAUAUUAGAAAAUUAUAUUAUUAUUAUUAAUUAUUAGUAAAAUUAAAAGUUGAAGUAUUUUUAUUUCUGGUUUUAUAACUUAUUAUUUAUUUUGAGAAAGAUUUAUGUGAUUAUUUAUUAAAUUUUUAAUAAAUAUUUUAUUUACACAUUAGUAAAUUUAUUUUAAUAUAUCUUUAUUUAUAAUAUAAAGGGAAAAUUAAGAAUUUAAUCAAAUGUUUUUUAAAGACUUAGACUUUAUAUUAAAGUUUGCUUCUGCCCAGUGAUUUAUUAAAUGGCAGUCUUAGCGUGAGGACAUUAAGGUAGCAAAAUAAUUUGUGCUUUUAUUGGGUUCCAGUAUGAAUGAAGUUAUUGGUUAAUUAUUUUCUUUUUUUAUUUUUGAAUUUUUAUUUAUAUAAAAAAAUAUAAUUAUGAUUAAACAAAGAUAAGUCUUCGGAAAUUCUUUUUUGUUGUUAACGUGAGUUAAUAAUAAAAAUUUUCUAGGGCAGAAUUUUAUAUAAAUGUAUUUUCUAUUUUAUAAUUUUAAGAAUUACUCCGGAGUUAACAGAAAAUCAUAUCUAAUCUAGUUCUUAUAGUAAGAUAAGUUUUACAUCGAUGUUGUAUUUAAGUAUAUUGAGAAAGGAGAAGAUUCAAUAAUUAAGACUGUUCUUCUUUUAAUUAACUUAACGUGAUAUUAGUUUAAUUCAUUGUGAGAUAGAAUUAUUUAUCUUGUUAAUCAUUAAGUUUAAGAGUUAUUAGUACGAAAGGAAAGUUUUAAAAGUUUUAAACUUUUUAAGAUGAAAAUCUUA